GGGCGUGUAGCUCAGUUGGCAGAGCGUUUCCUUAGCAUGGAAAAGGUCUUGAGUUCGAUUCUUAACUCGUCCA
Transfer RNA from Lodderomyces elongisporus NRRL YB-4239, 73 nucleotides. It matches the Rfam family "tRNA". Rfam says of the family: Transfer RNA (tRNA) molecules are approximately 80 nucleotides in length. Their secondary structure includes four short double-helical elements and three loops (D, anti-codon, and T loops). Further hydrogen bonds mediate the characteristic L-shaped molecular structure. tRNAs have two regions of fundamental functional importance: the anti-codon, which is responsible for specific mRNA codon recognition, and the 3' end, to which the tRNAs corresponding amino acid is attached (by aminoacyl-tRNA synthetases). tRNAs cope with the degeneracy of the genetic code in two manners: having more than one tRNA (with a specific anti-codon) for a particular amino acid; and 'wobble' base-pairing, i.e. permitting non-standard base-pairing at the 3rd anti-codon position. The record is from Rfam. NCBI's taxonomy places the organism in Eukaryota, Fungi, Ascomycota, Pichiomycetes, Serinales, Debaryomycetaceae.